CACUGACGUUGGAUGGUGUUGGAAGGCGGAAGGCUUUCACGGACAAAGGAAGAAAGUGAAGAGCGGGGGGUUGUCGUGAAUGAAUGUAAAGAGGGUUGGGGAGUUGCGGAAGAAAGUGAAUAGCGAAUGGGGGAGGAGGGCGGUUAAGGAGGGGGAUCGGUAAAAUGAGGUGCUGGAUCAGAUUUCAGAGGUGCCGGAUCCAGCGUGUUCCAGCACAAAUUAAGCCCUGGAUAUUGUUCUUACAAAAAUGCGUGGAUUUGCAACAGGAGACCUUUAUUCAGCCUCCAUAGCCACAUGGGGCACUUAUUUUCAUUGAUAGAUGCAUUUAUUGGACUUGUUUUGGAAGAAAUACACCUGUCUGAUGCCAUUUCAGAGCUGGAAAAGCCAUAGAUCAUUUUUAAUAGAACUUUAAUUGAAUUCGACUGAAUGUAGAAAGUCAUGUACACCACUAGUAAGCCUUGAAAGUGAGUAAAUCACUAGAUAAUUUUCAUUUUUGAGUGAACUAACCCUCUCAUGAAGAACAAACUGCAGUACUAAUGUAGCUUUACACCUGGUUGGGGCAUUAAGAUCAUUUUUGCUGUGAUGAAAACGUGAUUGUAUACCUUUCAUGAUCUGCUUUACCUGUCUGUGCUCUUCUUUCCUCUGCUCCUUCCUCUGUUUAAUCUGACGAGGCUCUGAACGAGUCCAUUUUGAGUUUGGUCUCCUGAAACGCU
Molecule: long non-coding RNA, 713 nt
Filed under: Danio rerio (zebrafish)
Lineage: Eukaryota; Metazoa; Chordata; Actinopteri; Cypriniformes; Danionidae
Description: si:ch211-247i17.4 (ENSDARG00000098047.2)
Source: RNAcentral